GGAGAAUUAGCUCAGCUGGUUAGAGCGCCGGCCUUAUAAGCCGGGUCAUAUGCGAAAGCGCCUGGGUUCGAGUCCCAGAUUCUCUA
RNAcentral lists this transfer RNA (86 nucleotides) under Lachnospiraceae bacterium. RNAcentral describes it as "tRNA-Ile". It matches the Rfam family "tRNA". Rfam says of the family: Transfer RNA (tRNA) molecules are approximately 80 nucleotides in length. Their secondary structure includes four short double-helical elements and three loops (D, anti-codon, and T loops). Further hydrogen bonds mediate the characteristic L-shaped molecular structure. tRNAs have two regions of fundamental functional importance: the anti-codon, which is responsible for specific mRNA codon recognition, and the 3' end, to which the tRNAs corresponding amino acid is attached (by aminoacyl-tRNA synthetases). tRNAs cope with the degeneracy of the genetic code in two manners: having more than one tRNA (with a specific anti-codon) for a particular amino acid; and 'wobble' base-pairing, i.e. permitting non-standard base-pairing at the 3rd anti-codon position. Lineage: Bacteria; Bacillati; Bacillota; Clostridia; Lachnospirales; Lachnospiraceae. The record is from RNAcentral.